UUUAAGGCAGGACUUUAAGGUAGUAUUGGGCAAGUUAUUGGAUGCAUCAGUUAGAAUCCUGUUUAAUACAGGAGCCUCGCAUUCUUUAAGUGUUUGAAGCAUGUUACCUUCAAACUCGAACCAAAACGAGCUAGUCCCAAGUUGAGAGUAAUCACUCCUGUAGGAAGAGCUACUACAGUUUCUCACAUGAUUUCUAAAUUAGAGUUUGAGUUAGGAUCACUAAAGAUGAAAACAAG
Molecule: long non-coding RNA, 236 nt
Filed under: Salvia miltiorrhiza (redroot sage)
Lineage: Eukaryota; Viridiplantae; Streptophyta; Magnoliopsida; Lamiales; Lamiaceae
Description: long non-coding RNA (SMIL_LNC011908)
Source: RNAcentral